RNAcentral lists this ribosomal RNA (267 nucleotides) under uncultured bacterium. RNAcentral describes it as "partial 16S ribosomal RNA". It matches the Rfam family "Bacterial small subunit ribosomal RNA", at positions 524 to 785 of the family's 1533-position model. The record is from RNAcentral.
UACGUAGGGUGCGAGCGUUAAUCGGAAUUACUGGGCGUAAAGCGUGCGCAGGCGGUUUUGUAAGCCAGGUGUGAAAUCCCCGGGCUCAACCUGGGAAUGGCAUUUGGGACUGCAAGGCUGGAGUGUGGCAGAGGAGACUGGAAUUCCUGGUGUAGCAGUGAAAUGCGUAGAUAUCAGGAGGAAUACCGAUGGCGAAGGCAGGUCUCUGGGCUGACACUGACGCUCAUGCACGAAAGCGUGGGGAGCGAAACAACGGAUUGAUGAUAC